GAUGAACGCUGGCGGCGUGCUUAACACAUGCAAGUCGAACGAUGAAGCCCAGCUUGCUGGGUGGAUUAGUGGCGAACGGGUGAGUAACACGUGAGUAACCUGCCCUUAACUCUGGGAUAAGCCUGGGAAACUGGGUCUAAUACCGGAUAGGAGCGCCUACCGCAUGGUGGGUGUUGGAAAGAUUUAUCGGUUUUGGAUGGACUCGCGGCCUAUCAGCUUGUUGGUGAGGUAAUGGCUCACCAAGGCGACGACGGGUAGCCGGCCUGAGAGGGUGACCGGCCACACUGGGACUGAGACACGGCCCGGACUCCUACGGGAGGCAGCAGUGGGGAAUAUUGCACAAUGGGCGAAAGCCUGAUGCAGCGACGCCGCGUGAGGGAUGACGGCCUUCGGGUUGUAAACCUCUUUCAGUAGGGAAGAAGCGAAAGUGACGGUACCUGCAGAAGAAGCACCGGCUAACUACGUG
Molecule: ribosomal RNA, 466 nt
Filed under: uncultured bacterium
Lineage: Bacteria
Description: partial 16S ribosomal RNA
Rfam family: Bacterial small subunit ribosomal RNA
Source: RNAcentral